CAUGGAUUGAGCCAUAUGGAAAAGGGUUUAUUCCAUCCAGGGUUGCUUCCCAGGCCAUCACACGAUCAAUUAAGCAACAGUAUUUGACUCCAUGGCCUACUUGUGGAGCAAUACCUAUAGACGACAGAAAGCCAUUCUGGGAGCGUUUUAAGAUGAAGGUGCAGUGGAAAGCUGAACAUGAAAGUCAAAUACAUAGAAAUUUUCACAUGAAAG
Molecule: long non-coding RNA, 213 nt
Organism: Vigna radiata var. radiata (mung bean)
Lineage: Eukaryota; Viridiplantae; Streptophyta; Magnoliopsida; Fabales; Fabaceae
Exons: 3
Source: RefSeq, a predicted model, not a curated record